This 417-nucleotide long non-coding RNA is filed under the name Rattus norvegicus (Norway rat). Its description in RNAcentral is "long non-coding RNA NONRATT027037". The record is from RNAcentral. Lineage: Eukaryota; Metazoa; Chordata; Mammalia; Rodentia; Muridae.
GCCACAUGAGUGUAGCCUCUUGGUAACAAACUGCUGUGCAGCCUGACAUCACCACUUGCUGCAGGAGAGGAGGCUGAGCGCAGAGUCUGCCCUGAGUGGUAACUCUGUCCCGUCGGCAAGCACAGCCUCCGAUGGUGAACCUGAGACCCUCCCGGCUGAGGUACAAGGGCUAGGCCAGCAAGAGGCCAUGCCUGGUCAGGAAGAGUAUCCAGAGGAAGACUAUAAUGAGGUCUUUCCAUGUGGUUAAGUUUCCAUUUGCAUUACCAUGUGUGUCUGGGAAGAGCAGCAUCUUUUGAUCUUGGCAGUGAAUCUUCUAUGUACAUGUACAGCAGAGAACAGCCCACAGUGCACUUUGCAGAGGACACACUGAUCCCUAGGGAAGAUGGUGAAGGUGAAGAGGGACAGCCCGAGGCUCCC